UAGGGAAUCUUCGGCAAUGGGGGGCAACCCUGACCGAGCAACGCCGCGUGAGUGAAGAAGGUUUUCGGAUCGUAAAGCUCUGUUGUAAGAGAAGAACGUGUGUGAGAGUGGAAAGUUCACACCGUGACGGUAACUUACCAGAAAGGGACGGCUAACUACGUGCCAC
RNAcentral lists this ribosomal RNA (166 nucleotides) under uncultured bacterium. RNAcentral's name for it is "partial 16S rRNA". It matches the Rfam family "Bacterial small subunit ribosomal RNA", at positions 355 to 511 of the family's 1533-position model. The record is from RNAcentral.